GAUUGGCUUCAUCAAUAAUGGUGGUUCAAAUUGGUUGCUGACUCCAUCUUCAUCAGGACAACACGAGAAUGAGAUGCUUAUGUUAUGCCAAGCCUUUCCCAGUUUGUUCCAGCAGUGGUUCCUAGCUUUGGGAGAUAUCAUGUUACUGCAAAACUUUUAUCUUUCUAAUUCCUUUGGUGAGAAUGUUGUAGAUUUGGGUAGAUCGACGAGUGGGGAGAGUGAGCUUAUUUCCCCCCUUGCUGCUGUUCAGUUCCAAUGUGUGAUUUAAGCUUUAUUUUAUGCAGCUCUCCUCUUGGUUGAUGAUGAUUCUCUAUUGAGGUCAGAUUGAAUUUGCUAGGUUGUUAUCACUGUUAGUUGGAUUUAC
Molecule: unclassified non-coding RNA, 364 nt
Filed under: Hevea brasiliensis (rubber tree)
Lineage: Eukaryota; Viridiplantae; Streptophyta; Magnoliopsida; Malpighiales; Euphorbiaceae
Source: RNAcentral